GCCAUCAGGAGGACUGAAACUGUAAACACAAGCUGGUAUUUUGGUGUGAUCACGCUAAUAUGGCGGUUUGUGAGGUCAAGGGGUGGAAGUUACAGGUAGGCAAUAUAUCUUUAACCAAAGUUGUGCUAGAUGGGGUCUUCAAGGUUAUUUGGAUUUUGAUGUACUAAGAAAAUAUCCUCAGUAGAAAAAUACCAGAAAUGGCAUUCCAACUCACCCUACCAAGGACAAGAAGCAGAUCAUUAGGAACAGAUAUAUUGGAGCUUGGCCCUGUAAAAACAUAGGAUAGCUAACAAAUACAUAAAAUUAGUUGUAUGGCCUCAUUUAUUCCUUCAUAGAGAUACAGCUCCUGGCAACCACCAUUCUACUUGAUGCCUCUAUGAAUCUGACUACUCUAGGUACCUCAGAUGAGUGGAAUUAUGCAGUAUUUGUCCUUUUGUGUGUACAACUAAUUUGACAGGCAGUAUGAUAAGGAACAAUCUGAAUGACACGUAAACAGGAGGGGGUAAAUUCCAAGCACAGCCUGAAUGAGAAGUACAACUCAUUUCCUGUAACCUAGAUGCCUUUUUAACACAUCUAUGCAGUCUCCAUGUGAAACCAGGUGCUGUUCCCAAAGGAGAAAACACUGCCCUCCAGUGGUCUUCAAUGAAGAAAUGGAAAUAGUUUCAGGUGGAAACCAGGCUUCUUGGAAGACUUCAAACUAUGCCAAAUGGUCUGAUUUCACCAUAGAGAAUGUUAUACUAUUAAUUGCCAAUUUGCAUAUGUGUGCAGCUGCUGUUUUGGCUCUGAACUCAAUCCGAUAAGCUUGCUGGAGGUAUCGCAGAGCACUUGGCAGCUUUCCUAUUUGAAAAGAAAGCCUCUCCCCUCUACAGAACAGCUGAUCGUCUAUCAGCGAUAGACCCUGAUGGCGUGAAUUACAAUUACACUACUUUUCACACUAAAUCUGGGUGAUAGCUACUUGGAAAGAAGUUUCAUCAUUUUUUACCACAAACUGGAAAAAGAAUUACAUGGUCAUGCUGUGCUUUUAAAGGCAGUUUGGUUCACUUUUGUCUAUUUAACACCUAAUUCCAAGAAGUCCAUAGGCAUCUAGAGAUCUGAA
Long non-coding RNA from Homo sapiens (human), 1096 nucleotides. Ensembl annotates it as PSMD14 divergent transcript. Its record names the gene PSMD14-DT. Lineage: Eukaryota; Metazoa; Chordata; Mammalia; Primates; Hominidae. The record is from Ensembl.